This 492-nucleotide ribosomal RNA is filed under the name uncultured bacterium. Its description in RNAcentral is "partial 16S ribosomal RNA". It matches the Rfam family "Bacterial small subunit ribosomal RNA", at positions 29 to 507 of the family's 1533-position model. The record is from RNAcentral.
AGUGAACGCUGGCGGUAGGCCUAACACAUGCAAGUCGAACGGCAGCACAGUAAGAGCUUGCUCUUACGGGUGGCGAGUGGCGGACGGGUGAGGAAUACAUCGGAAUCUACUUUUUCGUGGGGGUUAACGUAGGGAAACUUACGCUAAUACCGCAUACGACCUACGGGUGAAAGCAGGGGAUCUUCGGACCUUGCGCGAUUGAAUGAGCGGAUGUCGGUUUAGCUAGUUGGCGGGGUAAAGGCCCACCAAGGCGACGGUCCGUAGCUGGUCUGAGAGGAUGAUCGGCGACACUGGAAGUGAGACACGGUCCAGACUCCUACGGGAGGCAGCAGUGGGGAAUAUUGGACAAUGGGCGCAAGCCUGAUCCAGCCAUACCGCGUGGGUGAAGAAGGCCUUCGGGUUGUAAAGCCCUUUUGUUGGGAAAGAAAAGCAGCAGGUUAAUACCCCGCUGUUCUGACGGUACCCAAAGAAUAAGCACCGGCUAACUUCGUG